This 253-nucleotide ribosomal RNA is filed under the name uncultured bacterium. Its description in RNAcentral is "partial 16S ribosomal RNA". It matches the Rfam family "Bacterial small subunit ribosomal RNA", at positions 524 to 776 of the family's 1533-position model. The record is from RNAcentral.
UACGGAGGGUGCAAGCGUUAUCCGGAUUCACUGGGCUUAAAGGGUGCGUAGGCGGGUUGGUAAGUCAGUGGUGAAAUCUCCGAGCUUAACUUGGAAACUGCCAUUGAUACUAUUAGUCUUGAAUAUUGUGGAGGUCAGCGGAAUAUGUCAUGUAGCGGUGAAAUGCUUAGAGAUGACAUAGAACACCAAUUGCGAAGGCAGCUGGCUACACAUAUAUUGACACUGAGGCACGAAAGCGUGGGGAUCAAACAGG